UCCUAACAUGUGAAAUAAGACCUAGAUAACCAGGUGAGUUCCUAACUAGUCAAUUAAGACCUAGAUAACCAGGUGAGUUCCUAACUAGUCAAUUAAGACCUAGAUAACCAGGUGAGUUCCUAACAUGUGAAAUAAGACCUAGACAACCAGGUGAGUUCCUAACUAGUCAAUUAAGACCUAGAUAACCAGGUGAGUUCCUAACUAGUCAAUUAAGACCUAGACAACCAGGUGAGUUCCUAACAUGUGAAAUAAGACCUAGACAACCAGGUGAGUUCCUAACUAGUCAAUUAAGACCUAGAUAACCAGGUGAGUUCCUAACUAGUCAAUUAAGACCUAGAUAACCAGGUGAGUUCCUAACUAGUCAAUUAAGACCUAGAUAACCAGGUGAGUUCCUAACUAGUCAAUUAAGACCUAGAUAACCAGGUGAGUUCCUAACUAGUCAAUUAAGACCUAGAUAACCAGGUGAGUUCCUAACAUGUGAAAUAAGACCUAGAUAACCAGGUGAGUUCCUAACUAGUCAAUUAAGACCUAGAUAACCAGGUGAGUUCCUAACUAGUCAAUUAAGACCUAGAUAACCAGGUGAGUUCCUAACAUGUGAAAUAAGACCUAGACAACCAGGUGAGUUCCUAACUAGUCAAUUAAGACCUAGAUAACCAGGUGAGUUCCUAACUAGUCAAUUAAGACCUAGAUAACCAGGUGAGUUCCUAACUAGUCAAUUAAGACCUAGAUAACCAGGUGAGUUCCUAACUAGUCAAUUAAGACCUAGAUAACCAGGUGAGUUCCUAACAUGUGAAAUAAGACCUAGAUAACCAGGUGAGUUCCUAACUAGUCAAUUAAGACCUAGAUAACCAGGUGAGUUCCUAACAUGUGAAAUAAGACCUAGACAACCAGGUGAGUUCCUAACUAGUCAAUUAAGACCUAGAUAACCAGGUGAGUUCCUAACA
Molecule: long non-coding RNA, 944 nt
Organism: Oncorhynchus keta (chum salmon)
Lineage: Eukaryota; Metazoa; Chordata; Actinopteri; Salmoniformes; Salmonidae
Exons: 6
Source: RefSeq, a predicted model, not a curated record